This 1001-nucleotide ribosomal RNA is filed under the name uncultured bacterium. RNAcentral's name for it is "bacterial SSU rRNA". It matches the Rfam family "Bacterial small subunit ribosomal RNA", at positions 474 to 1503 of the family's 1533-position model. The record is from RNAcentral.
AGUUUUUGGAAAAAAACCCCGGCUAAUUCCGUGCCAGCAGCCGGGAUAAUACGAAGGGGGUAAGCGUUGUCGGAAUUACUGGGCGUAAAGCUCGCGUAGGCGGAUUGGAAAGUUGGGGGUGAAUCCCGGGGCUCAACCCCGGAACUGCCUCCAAAACUCCCAGUCUUGAGUUCGAGAGAGGUGAGUGGAAUUCCGAGUGUAGAGGUGAAAUUCGUAGAUAUUCGGAGGAACACCAGUGGCGAAGUCGGCUCACUGGCUCGAUACUGACGCUGAGGUGCGAAAGUGUGGGGAGCAAACAGGAUUAGAUACCGUGGUAGUCCACACCGUAAACGAUGAAUGCCAGUCGUCAGCUAGUAUGCUUGUUGGUGACACACAUAUCGGAUUAAGCAUUCCGACUGGGGAGUACGGUCGCAAGAUUAAAACUCAAAGGAAUCGACUGGGGCCCGCACAAGCGGUGGAGCAUGUGGUUUAAUUCGAAGCAACGCGCAGAACCUUACCAACCCUUGACAUUUGUCGCCACCUCCAGAGAUGGAGUUUUCCCUUCGGGGACGGCAGGACAGGUGCUGCAUGGCUGUCGUCAGCUCGUGUCGUGAGAUGUUCGGUUAAGUCCGGCAACGAGCGCAACCCACAUCCUUAGUUGCCAGCAGUUCGAUUGGGCACUCUAGGGAAAUUGCCCGUGAUAAGCGGGAGGAAGGUGUGGAUGACGUCAAGUCCUCAUGGCCCUCACGGGUUGGGAUACACACGUGCUACAAUGGCAUCUACAGUGGGUUAAUCCCCAAAAGAUGUCUCAGUUCGGAUUGUCGUCUGCAACUCGACGGCAUGAAGUCGGAAUCGCUAGUAAUCGCGUAACAGCAUGACGCGGUGAAUACGUUCCCGGGCCUUGUACACACCGCCCGUCACACCAUGGGAGUUGGGUUUACCCGAAGGCCGUGCGCUAACUUUUGAGGCAGCGGACCACGGUGAGCUCAGCGAGCGGGGUGAAGUCGUCACAAGGUAGCUGU